Long non-coding RNA from Syngnathus typhle (broad-nosed pipefish), 853 nucleotides. RefSeq lists it as uncharacterized. The transcript has 2 exons. The record is from RefSeq and is a predicted model, not a curated record. Lineage: Eukaryota; Metazoa; Chordata; Actinopteri; Syngnathiformes; Syngnathidae.
CAGGUGCUGAACACGCACAGCAGUUAGUACACGUGUGUAGCAGGCUGUCAGGUCCACAAGAUCUUACCCGGCCGUGCAGCCAGUCCUCACACGACACACACUGGAUCAUUUCGUCCUCAACCUGACAAUGAAGCGACCAGAAGUUGUUGGGUUUUUUUUUUUUUGUGUGCAGGCUGCCAUGAGUGUCACCUGGUCUUCCGGGUCCGGAUACGGCCGGCGGCAAGUGCAGUACUCUCCGAAGAAGUUGUGACUGUAUUUAUUCAAGCUGUUGACGUCAUCCUUGUCCUAGCUCGCGUAACAAACACACCAUCAGCAUAUUGGAGGACGAGCGUGAGAGGGGAGGACGAAAAGCGUUUCGCGACUCACGUGAAAGAGUUUACACGGCGCGUCCGCAAACUUGCCAUUUCCGCAGUCACAGCGGAAAUUCCUGAACACAACAUGGUCCUUCAGUCAUCCGCCAAGCGAGGGGCUUUAAGGACAAGACUGCAUUGCUACACAUUACCUGAGGAUACGAGCAGUGGUCCGAGUCACUUCCAGCCAACACGGCGGACGCUUCUUCUUCCAGCUCUUCAUCUUCCUGCAGGACGUCCACCAGAGAAACAGUCUGCUCCUCUGACAUUUUGGCCACCUUGUUUUCGAGUGGAGAAUUUGAGAAGGAAAAAAAAAAAAGAUGUGACAAAUCUAGAAGAUGGUCGCACACCACUCUCAAGUCGUUACUACUCUGUCCAACGUUUUGUUGUUCCGUCAUCUUGAUCACAUGCAUGUUUACGCUCUGCAAAUUGCAAUACCAGAAUGAUCCGAAUGACUAAACCUUUGAAUAUUAUAUGGAUGGAAAUAAAGCACCCUAGUCGUA